GCUGAUUGGUUGUUGCAACGC
Molecule: non-coding RNA, 21 nt
Filed under: Arabidopsis thaliana (thale cress)
Lineage: Eukaryota; Viridiplantae; Streptophyta; Magnoliopsida; Brassicales; Brassicaceae
Source: RNAcentral